UUACGGCUACAUCAUGUUGAAACACCGGUUUCCAUACGAUCGCCGAAGUUAAGCAACGUCGGGCCUAGUCAGUGACCGCUUGGGAAUACUAAGAGCUGUAA
This is a non-coding RNA of Acanthosepion pharaonis, 101 nucleotides long. The record is from the annotation of a GenBank genome assembly. NCBI's taxonomy places the organism in Eukaryota, Metazoa, Mollusca, Cephalopoda, Sepiida, Sepiidae.